AAAAUGUGAUAAGUAAUGUGAAUUGCAGAAUUCAGUGAAUCAUCGAAUCUUUGAACGCACAUUGCGCCCGCCAGUAUUCUGGCGGGCAUGCCUGUUCGAGCGUCAUUUCAACCCUCAAGCCCCCCGGGUUUGGUGUUGGGGAUCGGGCUGCGUUUCUGCCGCGUCCCGGCCCCGAAAUCUAGUGGCGGUCUCGCUGCAGCCUCCAUUGCGUAGUAGCUAACACCUCGCAACUGGAACGCGGCGCGGCCAAGCCGUUAAACUCCCCAACUUCUGAAUGUUGACCUCGGAUCAGGUAGGAAUACCCGCUGAACUUAAGC
RNAcentral lists this unclassified non-coding RNA (317 nucleotides) under plant metagenome. RNAcentral's name for it is "partial contains 5.8S ribosomal RNA, internal transcribed spacer 2, and large subunit ribosomal RNA". The stretch from base 1 to 105 matches the Rfam family "5.8S ribosomal RNA", at positions 50 to 154 of the family's 154-position model. The record is from RNAcentral.